Molecule: long non-coding RNA, 1058 nt
Filed under: Bos taurus (domestic cattle)
Lineage: Eukaryota; Metazoa; Chordata; Mammalia; Artiodactyla; Bovidae
Description: LINC24065-v3
Source: RNAcentral
GGAAGAUCUUGGCUGUUACCUUUGUGGAACGGAUGCUCAAUGAUUCAAUUAAGGGCUGUAGAAACUUUUGAGCUCUAGAAUGGAUGCCUAUUAGCAGAUUUCAGCAUCUCCCAUGGUCAUGUGCUCUGCAGACUAAGAACGGACCAGUGGGGCUGGCUGGAAAGCUCUUCCACGGACGCGCUCUCUGGUUGCCUCCAUGCCUUCGGUGUAUAGAGGCCCACAAAGAGAACCCGGAAGUUCAUGGUGGCCUCACUGUAGCAGCCUUAAGCCCACUAAUCAAUGCACUCAAGCGGAUGCAUGCGUUUUCCAUGAUUUCCUUUGUGUGUUGAGAGCCUAGAGAAGAACAAUGGACGCACAGCAGUGGGUUUAAGGAUCUUCCGUGGUCUUGGGCUCUACAGACUGAUAAUGGAUGCACCUGAAUUUAUUAAGCAUUCGACUGUGAUCAGGGCCUCUGCUGGUUUUCCUGUGUAUAAAUACAUGUGGGUCAUAAUGGAUCCUACAAGCUGAUUUCAGCUUCUGCUCUGAUUGAGAUCAUCAUGUUGCCUCUGUCAGGAGGGCGACAAAGACCACUAAAUGGGUGCACCUGGACUGAACAGACCACGAUCUCGAGGCUGCCAGUUUUCCCUAAAGAUUCCUUAGUUGAUAGCAGUGUAAGCUAUUUUCAUCAUGAGGAAGAGCACACUGGAGAUAAUGAACUGAACUAAUGUAGCCCUUCUGCCAUGGCAGUGAAUGCUGUAUUAGGAGCAAAGAGACAAAUGGUGGGUUCUCAAUGCUGUUCAAGUUUCAACCAUGAUUCCUGUGAUCAAAAAAUUUAUGGCUGCAUCUAUGUGUAGGAACCAGUAACAGAUACUGGAGUGGACUUCAGCUUCUGCCACAGUGAAGAUUAUCAUAAUGACUCUGUCAGGAAAGAGACCAAGACUGGACAUACUUGAGAUGAUUUAACCAUCUUCCAUGAUCCCAAGCCCUUUGGUUGCCUCUAUACAUUCAUUAGAAGUAUGGAGGCCAGUUACUCCGCAGAAUGGAUGCCCUUGAGCUGACUUAAGCAUCUUCCACGGUCU